Canis lupus familiaris (dog) is the source of this 11515-nucleotide long non-coding RNA. RefSeq lists it as uncharacterized. The transcript is spliced from 10 exons. The record is from RefSeq and is a predicted model, not a curated record. Lineage: Eukaryota; Metazoa; Chordata; Mammalia; Carnivora; Canidae.
CGCCACCCUGGGAAAGCCAGUCAGAGCCGGUCUGGCCCCGGGGACGGUUGGUCCUCAGGGGCCUGGCUGCGGACGCCUCUGGCUGAGGGGGCAGGGUCGUUGUCACCCUGUCCGCCUGGUCCGGACAAAGGCUUCGGCGGGCAGCGGCCGUGGUACCGGUGGGCGGAGUCCGCCCUGUGUGGUGGGAGGCCGGAUAAUUUCUUCAUGUGUAGUAAACCUGAAAGAGACAAAAUACAAGCUACCUACUGGUGGUGAUUCUGUACGUAGGAUAAGCACCAUUGCUUCAGCCAUUGCAGAUGAAUCAGUGAGUGUUGAUCCUUCCCAACUUCCUUCCAUGAUCAAGGCACUUUCAAAUGAAACUAGAGAGAAGACUUUUCAGGAGGAUAAUGAACAGAAGGACUAUUCCACUGAGUCUCAUUUCUUGCCUAGUUGUAUAGGAAAAAGUAUUGGCUCCAGCAUGUUUGAUAUGAUGAAAUACCUUACCAGAACAGAAGUUAGUAGAUAUGAAUGUGGACUGGAAGACUUUUCAAGAGCCAGUAGUACAUCUGAUAUUUGGGAUUUAUCUUUGCCAAAAGAACAGACUACACAAGACAUCCAUACAAUGGACUUGGGUGCUACUAAUAAAACCUUAAGGGAACCCAGAAGAAAAUAUAGUAUUUACUUUUUAUGGUGAAAAUGGAAAGAGUGAGAAUCAGGAAUCAUUUGGAAAAAACUUUCCAUGUUCAAUUUUUACAAAUAGAAAUGAGAGUGAACAUAUGGUAGUUGACGUGAAGACCUAUCCUAGUGAUAGCAAAUUACCAGAUAUUGGUAACCAUGUAACAGCCCCAUCAGUAUCCACUCCAAAAUCUGAUAGUGAUUCAUUAGUAAAGAAUCCCGGCCCAGCAUACGUUUGGCUGUCAGAAAAGAGUGAAUAAAUACCAAAUAAUGAAGAAAAUCUGAGGGAAAAUGAAUGUGCUAGAGAAGCAAGCAACAGUGAAAAACAUGUGACUUUUGUUGGAAAACAUUGCAUAGUUGCACCUAAGAGUGUUGGUUUGCAAAAAUCACUCUCCUGAAGGUGGUGGACAUGGCUGAGGAAGGUAGCUUCAGACCUUCCUCUUCUCCACUGAAUCAUUCUCCAAGCGAAAUUUCUGAAACAAGUUUAUGAGGGUGAGCUUUAGAGUCUUUUGGUUCAGCAGCUCCUCAGAAGCCCCCCUGUGAGAGUGAGUCAUCUACGUUGGUGUGUCCACAAGCCAGUGUGGGUAGGCUUACUUACGUGUCUGAACAAGAGAGCACCUGUCCCACUACAGCCUCAGAUCAUGGCCUUGAGGAUCGCAAGGGUUGCUUUUGUAAUGAAGAAGCAAUUAAAUACUCAUCUACUAGGCAAACAUGGAGGUGGCAUCCCAAAAGAAAGCAUGUCUCAUUGGCUAUCAUGAAACCUGUGGCGAUGAAAAUAGGUGCAUGUGUAUCGUUAUCAGUUACCAGUUUCAGGCCUGGAGGACCGAACCACGUACAAUGGGCAGUUAUUCCUUGGUAGUAGAAGAUUUUUCUACUGAAGCAACCGAGAAGCUACAUCUCUGCUGUCCUAAUGUCUUGUCUGGUAGCCCCGUUUCUGUCUUAAAAAUUACCUGGUUGAUGUCAAAGUGAAAUGAUACGGAGAUUCAUUUCUGCCCAUUUCUGGUCUUCUGGGGGAGUGACCUGCUUUGCUGAUUCCCAGGUGUGUGCACCUGGGAGAGCUGCUCAGCCCUCUGCCUCGUGCAUGGCUCAGCAGGAGUUGUUUAUCCUGUGAGACCCCAUGAGGAACAACAACAGUGGCGGUGGCCAGCUCUGGGGCCCUGGAUUCAGCUCCCACAGUCAUCAGCUUGGUGGCAUUCACCUCAUGGAACCUCCUGAAUCCUCCUCUCUCAUUCGUCAUAUUUCAAAGCUCCUGACAGAAAAGGUUCAUGUACCCCAUGAUAUAACCGAAGUACAAGAUGUUAGAGGUCAAGCCCAGUUAGCAAUUUCAGACAAGACAGUGUAAGUGUGUAUACUUAGUGUAAACUGGUGAAUGUCUGGGACCACAGACAUCAGAACAACAAAGACCUAAAAGUCAUCUUGUCCAGCAAGGAGAGUGUGGUGGUUUCUCUGGCCAAAGCAUUAUUCUGGCAAGGGACAACUGAUGUCUGAUCCAUCAGGUCCCAGCCAGGGAAGAGUGGCUACUACGCAUCCGACCAAGAAGCUGGGGCCUUCAGGGAAUUUCUGCCUUCAAGAGAGCUGCCAAAGGAAAUACAGGAAGGCAGGAAAUCCUAGCUCAGAAGUCAGCACAGAUGUUCAUGGAACCUGGCCCAGGUGUGACCUUCAAUGUACACAAAUAUCUUUCCCCCUCAAGAAAACCAAGAGGGAAAGGAAUUCAGAGAUCACUGACGAGGAUCCCAGGAGGAUUCCAGUGUUGGUCAGGGGUGAAGUUGGAACCCCUGGAGUGAGACUGAGGAUGGAAAGUCCUGCCUGCCCUUAUUUCAUCCACUAAUUAUCUUCCACUGGCCUCAUGCCUUCCAUGUGCAGGAUAUAGUCUCUUUACAUGUUUGUCCCCACUUUAGUGUUGAUGCAAUUCCAGAGGUGGAACUAGACAACUACACGUUCCUAAUAAUGGAACUGUCAAACCCUAAAACCCAAGCCAAAAUCAUCUACAUCGCAGAAAGUGGCAAGAAAAAGUCCUCCUUCCUUUAAACUGUACAAAGGGAGCCACUGUCCUUGGGCAGGAGGUAGUUCUGGCAAGUGGUAUCCUUCAAGACCCCCAAUUCAGUGAUUGUUGCUAUUCCUGUGGAAAUACCUCCAACCUCUAAAUCUCAGCAGUUAAGAAGAGGUGUUUCUGCUGUUUGCCCGAGUUCCUUACACUGUCCUCUGAGAAAGGAGGGCUUGGGGAUGCCCUUCAGUAGCUAGGGAGGAAGGCUGGAUCUUCUACUUUUUCCCACAUACAAGAGCUGAUGACUCUGUAAGAUUUCCUGUUUAAAAUGAGCAUAAGAGGGUAACCUGGGUGGCUCAGUGUUUGAGCAUCUGCCUUUGUCUCAGAUCAUGAUCCUGGAGCCCUGUGUUUGAGUCCCAUGACAGGCUCCCCACAGGGAGCCUGCCUCUCUCUCUGUGUCUCUCGUGAAUAAAUAAAGAAUAUUUAGGGGGGGAAAAAGAAAAUGAAUAUGAGACUCUUCAAGUCUUUUAGAUUACUAUAGGAAGUAAAAGAACGAAACUACUCCUGGACUCUAAAAAGGCUUUAAUAUUAUAAUAUUGAAAUCUACCAUUUACUCUUUAAGAUGAUGAAAUAUUGGUCCUCCAAAUAAGUGAAGAGACGGAAGGAAGUGUUGUUGAGCAGACGGGUCCCAUGCCCGCUGUUGCCCCUGGACACCAGCUCAGGCUGAGGUUGACUGUGGCCAGUUCUUUCUGUUUGUGAGCUAGGUUUGGGGCGCCAGCUAGCAGGACAAGAUGUAGCUAAGGACAGAGUGACACAUGUCAGUUGAGCAGGAGCUUCAAUUCAGGAGUUUUUCCUGAUAUUUUCGAAGGAGCUGGAGCCUGGUGCCCCAGCAGCAAGGUUGGAGGCUGCCCCAGGAGCCAUAUUAGAAGGAUCCCUGGAGUGGCCACCUGAGGAGUCUACCCCUACCCUCAUUCAGCUCCUGAUGGGCCUCACCUCUCCUCUUCACUGAGCCACUUCCCAGACUGGAACCAGGCCCUAAAUGGAUGCUUGGGCUCUACGUUGUAAUGAUCUGCAGCCACCUGGAGCAGCAUGAUCUCGGUCAUGAAUCUGCAUUCCUGGGCCAAAAGAGAAGGACAGGAUGCAUGAAGAGCCUGGGUGGGGAAGCUACAAGUCUUUGGAGGGCUGAGCACUGGGACAGGGGAACAGUGCUGGGUCUUUGACACAUGGCAACACCCCCGUCCUACAAAUUCAUCCCAACUUGUUCUCAGAGGUGAGUAUAAACUGCCCCUGCUCUGGCAAGUUAUCCUUGAUGGCCAUUCCUCUGUCCUCACUUACUGCAUGGGACUUUUUCCUUAUUAUGAAACUAUUCCCAAAAAUGUGAGAAUGAAGGGAUGGAAGCAAGGAAUGAUCCUCCUGGGGACAUCUCUGACAGCCACAGCCCUACCCUUUCCUACAGGAAGUCAUAGAGAGCCUCACCUUAUUCUUCUUCCGGUGGUUGAACUCAUUGCCCUGGAAAGCAGACAACCAAAGUCUGUCAGUGACAGGACUCCGGUGAUUACUGGCUGCUAAUACCCACCCCUUCUCAUGUUGCACUAAGGCCAGGCACACAAGGGGCCAUGACUUCCCGGAUGACAGGACUGCAAUCUAGGUCAGGCUCUGGGAGCCAGGGAAAGGAAGACAUGGGGUGGCAGUUCUGGCAUCCUAUAGCACAGGAAGGGGAGGCCAAAGCCUCAAGUGGGCAGGAGAUGCUAGGCUCUUUAAGUGCCCGCUCAAGUUGGAGAUCCUGACUUCACUCUGCCCCCACAGGCAAUCUCAAAGGGACAGGCUGAAGUCAACCCAGACUAACCUCGUGCUGCUUUGCAUUCAGGCAGCAGAUUUGAUCUCAGGACCAGUGAACUAAGUGCAGCCUCCCUUUACUCAUCACAGACAUGGGCAAGUAACUCUAGCUCACAGGGGCAGCGGGGAGGCUGUCACAAGGGGAAAAUUAAAAAAAAAAAAAAAAAAAAAAAAAAAAAAAAAAAACAAGGGGAAAAUUUGCCAAGGACUGAGAGCUCAGGGCUCAGUUCAGGGGUUCUGUGCUCCCACACAUCAGGAUUCUGGCCCCUCCUUCCCAGCCCUCAGGCUCAUGCACCUCCAGGUACUCCUCCAUUGCAGCAUCCAGCAUGAGCAGGUCAGUGAGGAAGGUGCCAAGGAAGGGGACGACACCCUGUGUCAGGGGGUUGGGGGUGGAGUGAGUUCCUGCUCUCUCGUGUCCACAGCGAUCCUCCCCGGGAAACAUUCAGCCUCCUGGCCCACCCCAGCUUACCACAUGGUGCAGACAAGGACCCUUCCCUCACCCUCCAAGAACAUCAGAGUCCUCCUAAUUAUUUCAAGGGCGUGCUUUAGAAAAUCAUUGUAUAUGUGGCCCUGGGCCCCUGUCCACCGACAAACACAUUUGUAUCUAGGUUUAGAUACAGGUCACUUCAAAAGAAGGGAUUUAGAAGCUGUGGCAACAGGAGGUGGAGCUGGAGUUGGAAGGCCCCACCUGUCUUGAUUUGGGGGCUUCCAGCUUUCAGAGAAGACCCCCGUCUCCUCUGGAUUCGAGGCCAUGUAUCUGGGCCAUGCUCAGCUUCUUCUGCCACUCCCUCUUCCAUGCUCUCUGAACAUUUACCCCCAGGGUUCCAAGUUUAGAUGGACGUUCCUGCAGGGCUAAGGACAAGUUCCUCAAGAUCAUAAUCACCUCAGGCUGCUUCUCCCCACCAUCUUUGACUCAGACCCUGGACAUCUGACGCAAGGCAGAGGGUAGCAUGCUACGUUAUCCUUAAGCCUGCCAUCUAGUGAUUCUAGAACAAUCUCAGCUCCAUAUUCACUCCCUGUGUGACUUUGAGCUUGCAGUCUGGCCUCCCUGGGAAAGGUUGAGAAUUCCAGCUACCUCCCUUGGUCUCCUGAGGACCCAGUGUCCUAUUCCUAUCAUCAUUGUUGUGGCCCUCAUCCCAUCCAAACCCCUAACUGAGCAGAGGCAUGUCCUCUGGGCUCUCAAGUUUGGUAGAGGCCCCCAUCUGGACCAGCUGGUGUCAGGGAGCUCGUGUGUCCAGCCUAGGGAUUCUGGUAGAGCAGCAACUGCUUUUCUACCCCUUGUGGAUUUUCACCCCUGGCUGUGUCCACAUUCAUGCAAAAGGCUUCACUCCCUGGAGGAAUGCUCCUGGCCAGUCCCUAAUUCAUUCACGAAGGACACUGUUGCUCCCACACCUCUUCUCUUUCUAUACCAACACCUUCCAUGCUACCUUGAUAAGCAGGUUCCUGCUCUGUGGAUUGUCUUUGGUGCACAAUUUUAAAACAUGUUCGAAUGUUAUUCCUGAAUAGAGAGAAAGAAGGCAGGAUGGAUGUUGGAAUACUAUGGUAGGGUUGAGUGCAAGUCCCUAUGAUCUGAGACCUCAAAGGAGUCAAACUGCUGGAUCACGGUUUUCUUUGGGUUCCUCUGAGCACUUAGGUCAUUGGAGGACACAGGAGGGAGCUCUCUUGUGGGUCAUCCACUGCAUCCAGUCCCCUAUUAAUUGAACAGCUCUCCUUUGGUCAGUUUUUGUUUCAAUUGGGAAGAGACUUUAGUUGCUGUAAUGUUCAUAUCCUAAAACUUUUAAUUCAGCUCAGCCCAGUCUCCCCAAAUGGGGACAUUUGGAGGCAUGGUGGCCUAUUCCCCAGGAAGGAGGAGAAAAUAACCUGCCCCCCUGCCCGCCCACGUCCUGUUUCAUGGUUUGCUGCCUCCUAGGAAGUCCAGGGUGACUGAGGGGGUGAAAAGGACAGGCAUAUGGGACAUCCCUCACCCUUCAUGGUCCUUCUGGAGAGAGGACCCCUCACCUGGAAACUUUGGUCCAUGUGAUCUUCAGGCGGUGAAUUGAGGCACUCUGAAGAGCAGAGAUGAUGGCAUUCAUGGAAGAGUAGUUCCGCAAGAUUUGACAGGCCUGGGGACGGAAGAGAAUGAGCUGUCAGGUGGAUAGCAGGAGCCCAAUUUCCUGGAGAGCUGCACUCCUCUUCAGUGUCAGUCUCCUCUCCUGGAUGAGACAGAUGUCUAGGGACCUACAGAAGGGCACGUGGAAGACCCAGCGAGGAGCACUGCUGGGGAGAGGGGGCAUUUUCCUUCACUCCAAGGAAAGAGUCAUGUAGGAACUGAGCAUCCCAAAAUUGGGCCAUGCAAGGAAAGGUCAGCAUGCCCCUUGAAAGAAGAACUCAGACCAGAGACUUCCAACAUUGAGAACUGAUCAAGGACAGAGCAGUUCCCGAGGCUCAGGAGAGCAAGUCAGCUGGGCCUCCUGUAGGCUUACCUUGGCCACCUUGAUCCAGUGCUCCACCACCAUGGCCUGUCCCGGGCCAUCAUGCGUGCGUUGCCAAGGAAGGUGGUGAUGACGCAGUUGGACACAUCGUUGAACUGGGUGAUGGUGGCAUGGACUGUGCAUGGCAGGUGCUCAUUUCCAGGUUCAUUUCGCUUGGACCAAAUGGCACCCAGGCACUGUUGGGGCAGCAGCUUCUUGAACAGAUCCUAGAGAAUAGGGGGACACUCGCUCUCACAGCCAUUUCACAUGCAAGAUUCAUGUCCUAUGUAGGGGUCCCAUGUCAGAGCUGGGGCUCAGCAAGCGCAGAAAGUGGCCUGAACCCAGUUAGAGUCCCUGGAUUGCACUCCAUUCCUCUUCCCUGAGGGAGCCCAGUACAGGAUGAACGAGGAGCGGAUACUGCCGUGGGGGAGCAGAGGAAGGAGGGCAUUUGUACCCUGAUCAUCCCCACUAACUUCAAGUUCAAGGGGGCUCCUCAGAGGGGCAUCUUCCCCUCCCAGUGUUCAUGCCUCUGGUCCUACUCCCCUUUCAGCAGCACAUUCUCACAGAGAGAGGUACAACCACAGGUUUAUCUCCCUGCCCUGUACUUCACACAUUAGAUGACUAAUAAAUGUAGGUUGCUCAGCCUCCAAGGCAGAUGUGUGGGUGAGCCGUGGGCUUGGCCGCACACAGUGAGUUGCCCUCCUCCACCCAAGGACCAGUGCCUGCCCAUUUGCCUAUCAGUUCUGGCUCAUUUAAUUGACACAGGAACUCUGCAUCAGUCCUUGCCAGGGUCUAUCUCCAAAGUCUGCAGCUGGACAGUGAAAGCAAGGGUUUGAGGAACUGGACGGGUUGAUGUGGUUCGUAAGUGAUGGAGCUGAGAUUUGGACCCUGACCUUACAAGCCCACAUCAGGGAAGGGCAGGUCUGGGGUAGAUGACAGCAGAAAGAAAGCCUGCCCCGGCCCCGGCCCCGUCCUGGGAGCCCAGCUGCUCACCACAUCUAUGGAUGUCAAUUGCUCUGCCACCAGCUUGGGAGGGAAGUCCAUGAGACCGGGCUUCUCCUCAUGUAGCUGGUGCUCGGGAGUUAUGCACCAGUGGCAGGUCGCCUCUGGGGCUGGAGGUGGCUCUGUCUCUAUGUUUAGGGAAGGAGUUACAAUUCCCAGGAAAGCUGGUGGUCGAACUGACUGCAGCUCAUGACCUGGUACACAUGCAGAAGAAGACAUGAGCUCUUGUUCCAGAUCUGGAACAGCUGAUCGAGGAGAUGCUGGAAGGAGCCAUGGAGCUGGCACUGGGACAGGAUAAAGAGAAAUGUUUGUCCACAAGACUGACUUGCCCCAUGCCCUUCCAAAAACAGGGCAGAUUCCAUGGCCAAUAGAGAAACCCCCAGUCCCUGAACCGCAUUGCAGAUAGUCUUCCCAGCUUGCAAUCCCCCUUACCCUCUGACUCUGUGUCUGCCUCAGUGAGCUGCAGAAUUUCCCGUGGCAUCACGGUAAUGGAGGUAUGGCAAUUCAUGUCCCAGUCAUGCAAAUUUGCCUGCACCCAGGCCCCCUUUCCUUUGAAACAGGCACAGUGCAGGGACUGCCAGGUGUCCUGCAGUUUCUGGUCAGGCCAGGUACCCAAGAUGGGAGAGAGGGUGCUGGGGAGAGUCAUAUGUGGAGCAGCAUCACAGCAUAGUCUUUCAUGCCACAUGGUACUUCCAUAGCACCAUUCUUUCUGUGUGGGCCCCAGAGAAUGUCCCCAGCAUGACUUCCAACCCCCCUAUUGCUGUGCUUGCAGUGGAUGAUCCGGUCGUCCAGAAAACCUGUAUGAGUCUCGUUUUUCUACUUAGCCUGUUUUCUCAAUGGCCAAGGGCCUCGUCUACUCCAUCCUUCAUGCACACCAGUAUCAGGGCUUAGGUUUGUGGCAGAUUGGUGAGUGGUCUGCUCACCAAAGUUCUGUUCUUGGCCCCAGUUGUGGAGGUCAGAAGAGGUGGUAUAGAGAGGUGCAGGAAGAGAUGGGACAGUUGAAGAGAUGGAUGUUUGAGGCACCGAAUCAGCCCAGACUGUGCUCUGCUUCCCAGAGGGCUUGGGACCCCAUCUACAGCUCCCUUUGACUCAUUUCCCUCUUCACAGGAAGCCCCAAAAAUGAAACCCUCCCAAUGGAAAUCAAGAGACCUAUGAGAUCCAUGGCUCUGAGAGUUACUCCCCAGCCACAAACCCUUAGUCUCCCAACAUGCUCUGUGGAGAAAUUAAGGUUCUCCUUCUGGAUCCAAAGAUCAAAGUUUUACUUGAUCUUUCCCAAAAAUUUUUAAGGAUAUUUAUUAGAGCGAGCGAGCGAGUGAGCGAAUAAGCAUGGUGAGCAGGCUCCCCACUGAGCAGGGAGCCCAAUAGAGGGCUCAAACACAGGACCCUGGGAUAACAACCUGACCUUAUGGCAUAGGCUUACCUGAAUGAGCCCCUCAGUGCCCUUACUUGAUCUUAUGGUCCAUGAUAAUGGUCCAGAUAUGGGUGGAUCCAUUCAUUCUUUGAGGCGGCCAUGAAGAUGUCACAUCUAAAAAACUAUGGACAUGUGUGUCUACGACACGCAGAGUGAUUGUCUGACACUCUGAUUAGUCUUGGGACCGAGACACUGUACCUUCUUUAUUCCUUCAAUUAUCUCAGUGAAUAGAAAUGUGUCUGCAAUACGAGGUGCUUAAUAUGUAUUAUUGGAUGAAGGAAUCCCAACCAGCACUUUCCGUAUACUGAGUGGAACUUGAGCUGCUCUGCCUUCCCCCAGUGACCUCUACUCUUAUGAGGACAGAGUAUCAGGACCUCUUACUUAUGUGGACAGAGUAUCAGGACCAGUUAGAUGGAAUCUCAGAAGUCCUUUGCAUACAGGAAAACUGCCUGCUUUGCAUGUGCUUCUGUAAAACCAGAAGUGCCACAGGCCCACGGGGGUUGAUGUGGAGACCUUCUUAACUGUGGAGAGAAAACUGCUACACAUGAAGAUGCCCAGCAGCCCUUUCUACAGAGCCAGGCACCAGAUAAGUCUAUGCCAUGUUUUCUCUCAGGAUUUCCACAGUAGCCCGAUGAGGUUCAUCCUCUUACCACAGCACUUUUUAGAGGAGCAAAAGGAAGCUCAGAGAGGUGCAGUGACAUUCCCAAAACAUACUGGUAGUAGAGGCGAGACCCCCCUCCCCCAUGCUGCAUAUGGGGUGGUCACUCACUUGGGGAAUUGCUGGCCCAGGACCUGUUGGGCUGUGGUGAACACCUGGUAGAUACAGGAAAUGACUGGGUUGUUUGCGAGGCUUCUAUCCUGGAAGGAUGGUACCAAGGACUGUACAAAAUUAUCCAUUCUCCCUUCUUUGAGCAUCAGCAUGGUCCUGGCCUCACCCAGGAAUAGGGUUGAUUCCUUUUCACACCAGAGACACAAGGAGGAGCACUGUAGUCAGCUUCCAAACCAAGAACCACUGCGAAGAUCAGGGUCUGGCUCUCAGACCAGACUCCCAUCCCCUCAGGAAGUUCUACAGGACAAGGGACUUGAGUGCUCACACAGAAAAAGGUGUGAGGCUUCAAAAUAUCAUUGGUUUUAGGGAAGACAUGGUAAACCAUUAGUAACUUCAACACAUUCUGUUAGCUGAGCAACAACAGCAUUCCUCUCAACUAAUAGUUUUAUGAAGACCAGUAUGCCAUUGAGUCUUCAGUUACGGCCUCACACAGAACACAGAGGGCUAGACCCUCACAUGCUGCUUAAGAUCACAUACAUUGCAGCUGAGAAGAGACCAGAGCGUGAGCUGCAUGGGGUUUCCCUUAAGCUGAUGUGGCUUGGUCUGUUCCUGACAUAGGGAGGAAGGGUCAGGGGAAAACUACCUUCUCCUGCAAGGCCCAAGGGCAUCAUUUGUUUCUAGUCUGUGUUCUGGUCUUGCCCUGAUCAUCUCUGUGUCUUGAGUUUGACCAUGAAUGUGGACCUGUUCUUACCGCAGACCUUCAAUGGAAGUAGUUGGUGGCCUGAUGCCCCUGUGCUUGUCAGAGGAGCUGGAGGAGUUCAACUCUUGGAGCAACUCAUCCAAGAUCUCCUGGGUGGGUCAUUACAAAAAGAGCCAGCUACUGGUGCCAGGAGGCAUCAGAGGCCUUCCCCCUAAUCUGGGGUUCCAGGAUAUGGCAGAUCUAGCAACCAAAACAGUCUGUGGGGACACACACGGUGUUCCUUGCAGCACUGCAGAAAUGGCAAGAGAAUGGCAUCAGGUCGAGUGCCAAGGGUCUCGAAAGUCUGAAUCCCUGUGGCAGACGGCCUCAUUUAUGGACUACUACAAAGAUCUAUAGGGAUACAGCUCAUGUCCUGUUGGGCCUACAAUGAUUUGAUGUGUUCUGAGAGACGACAUGUUAUAGAGAAACAUAUAGAGAGAAUCUAUAGAAACUAUAUAAACAUUCUAUAUGAAAACAUAUACAAUGGCUUCAUCACACCCUUUUGUGUUAAAUCACCCUCUUUAGUGUGAUAUUUGGAAAGGCUCGGAGAAGGUCUGCAGGGACAGUGGAGCUGGCUUCUACACAGGAUAGCUGGGAGGAGUACGUGAAAUAAUAAAAACAGAAGUAAAACGCAAAGAUACUCAUGGCUUUGUGAACCCCCCCCCACCAA